GCCUCUGUAGCUCAGUUGAGAAGUAGCGCUUGGUUUACAUCCAAGAGGUCGUAGGUUCGAGUCCUACCAGGGGUAC
RNAcentral lists this transfer RNA (76 nucleotides) under uncultured marine phage. RNAcentral's name for it is "tRNA-Val". It matches the Rfam family "tRNA". Rfam says of the family: Transfer RNA (tRNA) molecules are approximately 80 nucleotides in length. Their secondary structure includes four short double-helical elements and three loops (D, anti-codon, and T loops). The record is from RNAcentral.